UACAGAGGCCCCAAGCGUUACUGAGAAUCACUGGGUUUAAAGGGUGCGUAGGUGGUCCGUUAAGUUCGUUGUGAAAGCCCUGGGCUCAACCCAGGAACUGCUUCGAAUACUGGCGGACUUGAGGCUAGUAGGGGUCACUGGAACUGACGGUGGAGCGGUGAAAUGCGUAGAUAUCGUCAGGAACGCCAAUGGUGAAGACAGGUGACUGGGCUAGUUCUGACACUGAGGCACGAAAGCGUGGGGAGCGAACGGG
This 253-nucleotide ribosomal RNA is filed under the name uncultured bacterium. RNAcentral describes it as "partial 16S ribosomal RNA". It matches the Rfam family "Bacterial small subunit ribosomal RNA", at positions 524 to 776 of the family's 1533-position model. The record is from RNAcentral.